RNAcentral lists this ribosomal RNA (138 nucleotides) under uncultured eukaryote. RNAcentral describes it as "partial 18S ribosomal RNA". It matches the Rfam family "Eukaryotic small subunit ribosomal RNA", at positions 1299 to 1458 of the family's 1831-position model. The record is from RNAcentral.
UGGUGGGGUGACUUGUCUGGUUAAUUUCGAUAACGAACGAGAUCCGAACUGUUUAUUUGCGUGUGCUUAUAAUUUCGCAGGCGACAUGUUUCUAAAUGGACCAUCAGAUAAAUCUGAAGGAAGUGACGGGCUAAAUCA